GAUGAACGCUGGCGGCGUGCUUAACACAUGCAAGUCGAACGGGAUCCCAGGGGUGCUUGCACUUUUUGGUGAGAGUGGCGAACGGGUGAGUAACACGUGAGUAACCUGUCCUUUUCUUUGGGAUAAGCAUUCGAAAGGGUGUUUAAUACCUUAUGUUCUGUCUGCCUCGCAUGGGGUGGGUGGGAAAGGCUUUGGCCGGAUUUGGGUGGGCUCGCGGUCUAUCAGCUUGUUGGUGGGGUGAUGGCUUACCAAGGCUUUGACGGGUAGCCGGCCUGAGAGGGUGGUCGGUCACAUUGGGACUGAGAUACGGCCCAGACUCCUGCGGGAGGCAGCAGUGGGGGAUAUUGCACAAUGGGCGAAAGCCUGAUGCAGCGACGCCGCGUGGGGGAUGAAGGCCUGCGGGUUGUAAACUUCUUUUGCUCUGAACAAGGCAUGCCAGUGGGUGUGUUGAGUGUAGGGGUUGAUGAGCGCCGGCUAACUACGUG
This 485-nucleotide ribosomal RNA is filed under the name uncultured bacterium. RNAcentral's name for it is "partial 16S ribosomal RNA". It matches the Rfam family "Bacterial small subunit ribosomal RNA", at positions 28 to 507 of the family's 1533-position model. The record is from RNAcentral.